UACGUAGGGCGCAAGCGUUGUCCGGAAUUAUUGGGCGUAAAGAGCUCGUAGGCGGCCUGUUGCGUCCGCUGUGAAAUCCCGGGGCUCAACCCCGGGCCUGCAGUGGAUACGGGCUGGCUAGAGGCAGGCAGGGGAGAACGGAAUUCCUGGUGUAGCGGUGAAAUGCGCAGAUAUCAGGAGGAACACCGGUGGCGAAGGCGGUUCUCUGGGCCUGUACUGACGCUGAGGAGCGAAAGCAUGGGGAGCGAACAGG
This 253-nucleotide ribosomal RNA is filed under the name uncultured bacterium. RNAcentral describes it as "partial 16S ribosomal RNA". It matches the Rfam family "Bacterial small subunit ribosomal RNA", at positions 524 to 776 of the family's 1533-position model. The record is from RNAcentral.